GCGAGAGUGGCGGAACUGGCAGACGCGCUGGAUUUAGGAUCCAGUAGGGCGACCUAUGGGGGUUCGAGUCCCCCCUCUCGCACCA
RNAcentral lists this transfer RNA (85 nucleotides) under candidate division Zixibacteria bacterium SM23_81. Its description in RNAcentral is "tRNA-Leu". It matches the Rfam family "tRNA". From Rfam's summary of the family: Transfer RNA (tRNA) molecules are approximately 80 nucleotides in length. Their secondary structure includes four short double-helical elements and three loops (D, anti-codon, and T loops). Further hydrogen bonds mediate the characteristic L-shaped molecular structure. tRNAs have two regions of fundamental functional importance: the anti-codon, which is responsible for specific mRNA codon recognition, and the 3' end, to which the tRNAs corresponding amino acid is attached (by aminoacyl-tRNA synthetases). tRNAs cope with the degeneracy of the genetic code in two manners: having more than one tRNA (with a specific anti-codon) for a particular amino acid; and 'wobble' base-pairing, i.e. permitting non-standard base-pairing at the 3rd anti-codon position. The record is from RNAcentral. Lineage: Bacteria; Pseudomonadati; Candidatus Zixiibacteriota. RNAcentral also lists the same sequence under 1 other name.